This is a long non-coding RNA of Diceros bicornis minor, 308 nucleotides long. RefSeq lists it as uncharacterized. The record is from RefSeq and is a predicted model, not a curated record. The transcript has 4 exons. Lineage: Eukaryota; Metazoa; Chordata; Mammalia; Perissodactyla; Rhinocerotidae.
GGAAGGUGCAAUUGACCGUUUGGUUAACAUAUACAAAAAUGUGGUUCACAAAACUGGGGGUUACCUUACAGAAAGUGGUUAUGUCAAUCUGCAAAGAGUACAGAUGAUCAUGUUAGCAGUUGGUGAAGUUGAGGAUAGCAUUUUUAAAAAGAGAAAGGAUGAUGAGGACAGUUUUAGAAGACGACAGAAAGAAAAGAGAAAGAGAAUGAAGAGAGAUCAACCAGCUUUCACUCCUGGUGGAAUAUUAACCCCUCAUGCCUUGGGUUCAAGAAAUUCACCAGGUUCUCAAGUAGCCAAUAAUCCGAGAC